Long non-coding RNA from Papaver somniferum (opium poppy), 1659 nucleotides. RefSeq lists it as uncharacterized. NCBI's taxonomy places the organism in Eukaryota, Viridiplantae, Streptophyta, Magnoliopsida, Ranunculales, Papaveraceae. The record is from RefSeq and is a predicted model, not a curated record. The transcript is spliced from 11 exons.
UCCAGUUUAGAGAAAAAAAAAAUCAAAGACACAAAUCGCCAUGAUUCAAAACCAUUAUUUCUCCCCAUAUCUAUCAACUUUUUUUUUCCCAAAACCGAUACAUUCAAAACCUCUUUUUUUCGGUUUUCAAUCUUCAUCAGACCUUUAGGUGGAUUUAUGUUCAGGUAUAACAUCUCCAUCUCUUUGAUUCAAUUUUGUUGGUGUUAAAUUGGAUUCCUCUUAACCUAAUCAACACGAAGAAAUCUAAGUUUCUUAGAAAGAUUUCUCUAUUUCGCGAGGUUGGUCUGCUAUAAUGUUUUUCUGGUAUUGAAAAGGGUUUUGACUGAACGGCUUCAACAAUUUCAUGAGAAACAAAUGUUAAGUCAUUCAAUUUUGGUAUGGGUUUUCAAUUUUUCCCUAUGGGUUUUCUUAAAUGGAAAGUUGUGCUUGAUUGGGGUUUUCCUGGCAUUUAUCUGUAUUGUUGUUGCUAUGGAGGUGCUUCUUGUUAGGUUAGUUACGGGUAUAUGGUUAUGGCUAGUGGGGGCAGAUGCUCUGUGGUCUGUGAAGUUUGAGUUUGGAAGGAAGGACAGGAGGGGGGAACUAUGCGCACCUGGUUAAUCUAGUUCCAAGGAAGGUAUUUUGCAAUACCCAUUAUCACAUUUGAUCUUGUGAAGAGUUUGGAAUUUGGGAGGUUUAAUUAUAGUCGUGGAUGAUGAAGCUGUGAUUCGCCAUACUUGGGUUGAGCUAGAGCUCAAACAGAUACAUGUUGUCGGGAUAUGUGGCUGGGGUAGUGUAUGUGAGACGAUUGAUGGGGAAUUGUUAGAAUAUAGUUCACACAAUCAGAUGGCUUGCGGGAGUAUCAGUGACGGCCUUGUGAAAACAUCAUCUGCUCUUGUUGGAACAUUAUUAAAGACGUAUCAGCGCAGUGGCGGCGCAGGAUCAGCAUUGGCAAGUGCUGUUUGUGCAGCUCCUGCUGCUGCCGUAGCAUGAACCUGUUUCAGCAUACGCAGAGGUUGGAAAAAAGCUAUUGGACUGGUAGGCAUGCCUCUGGAAACUAGUAGGCGUGACUGAUAUGGUGCUCAAAGGACCGGGAAAGCUUAAACUGCAAAUGGUCAAGGAAGUGGUGAAAAUUCCAAGAUGGAGUAUGAAAGUCAAAAUUUGAUCAUAUAAAUGGUAAUGACUGCAGUUCAUAUGCAUUCAAAAGGUUUUUCGCACCAGAACAUCAAACCAGAUAAUUUACUUAUGCAUAUUGGACAGAAAACCAAUCAAGUUGGAAAAAAGCCAUUUGCACUGGUAGGCAUGCCUCUGGAAACUAGUACGCGGCUGAUAUGGUGCUCAAAGGACCGAGAAAGCUUAAACUGAAAAUGGUCAAGGAAGUGGUGAAAAUUCCAAGAUGGAGCAUGAAAAUUAAAGUUUGAUCAUAUAAAUGCUUAGGGAUGAGAUAAUGGACCUGAUUUGAGCUAGUUUCUCAGAAAAUGAAGGCAUAGAUGGUGCAGGUUUUUGUUUGCAGCUUAGUGUGUUGAAGUUUUUAUGGUUAGACUUGUAAUACAGAAAUGUAUGUUAAGGUUUUCCAACUUAGUAUUGAAGUUUUCCAGAUUUGGAACUUGCAGUAUUUUAGAUAACUGAUUUGUAAAGUGAAUACACUUUUCAAUACAAAUUGAGUUUUAAAGUUAUUAUCAA